RNAcentral lists this transfer RNA (80 nucleotides) under Staphylothermus hellenicus DSM 12710. RNAcentral's name for it is "tRNA-Gln". It matches the Rfam family "tRNA". Rfam says of the family: Transfer RNA (tRNA) molecules are approximately 80 nucleotides in length. Their secondary structure includes four short double-helical elements and three loops (D, anti-codon, and T loops). The record is from RNAcentral. Lineage: Archaea; Thermoproteati; Thermoproteota; Thermoprotei; Desulfurococcales; Desulfurococcaceae.
AGCCGGGUCGUCUAGCGGCCAAGGAUGCGGGGCUUUGGAUAACCCCCGUGACCGGGGUUCGAAUCCCCGCCCGGCUACCA